Molecule: ribosomal RNA, 496 nt
Filed under: uncultured bacterium
Lineage: Bacteria
Description: partial 16S ribosomal RNA
Rfam family: Bacterial small subunit ribosomal RNA
Source: RNAcentral
AUUGAACGCUGGCGGAAUGCUUUACACAUGCAAGUCGAACGGUAGAGGGGGCAACCCCUCGAGAGUGGCGAACGGGUGAGUAAUAUAUCGGAACGUGCCCAGUCGUGGGGGAUAACGUAGCGAAAGUUACGCUAAUACCGCAUCCGAUCUAAGGAUGAAAGCGGGGGAUCGAAAGACCUCGCGCGAUUGGAGCGACCGAUAUCAGAUUAGGUAGUUGGUGGGGUAAAGGAUCACCGAGCCAACGAUCUGUAGCUGGUCUGAGAGGACGACCAGCCACACUGGAACUGAGACACGGUCCAGACUCCUACGGGAGGCAGCAGUGGGGAAUUUUGGACAAUGGACGCAAGUCUGAUCCAGCCAUUCCGCGUGCAGGAUGAAGGCCCUCGGGUUGUAAACUGCUUUUGUACGGAACGAAAAGGUCUCUCUUAAUACGGGGGGCUCAUGACGGUACCGUAAGAAUAAGCACCGGCUAACUACGUGCCAGCCGCCGCUGUAA